Rosa chinensis is the source of this 1187-nucleotide RNA transcript. RefSeq lists it as uncharacterized. The transcript is spliced from 4 exons. The record is from RefSeq and is a predicted model, not a curated record. NCBI's taxonomy places the organism in Eukaryota, Viridiplantae, Streptophyta, Magnoliopsida, Rosales, Rosaceae.
AAAAAAAAGAAAUUGGAGUAGAAAAGUCGUUCGAGUUGCAAAAGCAAAAGCGAAAAUCCGAUGGAGUGCUCCCAGAAUCUCAAGGUAAGCAAAGAAGAGGUGAUAGCGAAGCUAAAGGACGAUGGCGACUUCGACAGGCUCCGCCGCAAGAUCAUUCAAAAGCUCAAAAACAACGAGGAAUUACGCGAAAAUAUUAUUUCAAUUGUGAAGCAAUCACAAGCGCUUAAUCGCCCAGGUGCCGAGAACAUGAAACCCAGGCAACUCUCUGAUGACAUUUAUCAGGAGGUUGGGGGCAAAGUGAUGAGCCAGAUAUCGGAUGGGUUGUGGGGGAUAAUCAGAUCAAGUGAUGCAAUGCAGAGUGAAAUAAGCGAAACUGUUCAGUCUGUUUACAAUAAAUUGGCUAAUCCAGAUGGGAAUGCAGACGGUCAGUCCUCCACUCAUGUUGUUCAAGUUCAAGUCGAGUCUAGUGAUAAUGGAUUAGUCGCCGGUGCUGCCAGUGGAGCUGUUGAUGGUGUGUACGACCAUCAUCAGGAUGACAAUAACCAUGAGGCACAACUUCCGCCUCGUGAAAAAGGAGCUAUGACAGAGCACCGGGAAAUGUUACAGGAUAAGAUGGAUACCGAGGGUGUUGAUCGCAUAGUGGCUCCUGGCGUUUCUACAGACACGGAGCACAAGCAGGAGUGUGAUGGUAGCGAUGAGGACCCCGAUGUGCCUCCUGGUUUUGGUUAAUGCCAUUGUCAUGCAAUUCUGUUUGGUCGGUGUUACUAUGCAGCUAUCGAAUUUCAGGUUGUUCAGUGUUCCUCAGGUACAUAGUUCACCCAUUUCAUGCCAGCAUAAAUGAGUGGUAGCAGUGUAGAAUUACUGAAGUCACUGGAGUGGGAAAGUCCUUCACCGUCAAGUUCUCUGUUUCCCGUCACUGUUGUUGCUCUGAUGCUUCUGUCAAUGGUGCUUGCACAAACAGUGGGAAGCCAUUUGCUACUGUGCUAGUGGCCGGACCCCAAUUCCCGGCAGAACAACUAAUGAAUACUCCUCUUUGAACUGCUUCAAAUGUACCUAUUGUGAGGGAAAAUGAGUUGGGGAUUAGGAUAAGUCAAAGUGUUGGAUAUAAUGUAACAAAGAAAAUGUACCUAUAGUAAUUAAGUUAUUGAACCUCACUGGAGCGUAGGCCAAAGCAGAUCGAAAGCACA